GACGUUAAAAAUUUGGACAAAAUUUUCUAUUGCCUAUUGCCCAAAAAAUCCAAUAGCAUUUGCAGCAAUACCUCCUACUGUUAAUGCAGAUCAAAGCUAGAGUAAUUCAGACUGCAAAAUCUGCUGGUUAUUUUCCAAAGACAACAUGUAUAGUUCUUGGUUCUUCUGGCAAAUACCAAAUAGAGAUCUUACCCUUCCAUCAUAUGAUAAUGAUGCAAAUAUCCAUGGCUCUCGACAGCUCCAAG
Molecule: long non-coding RNA, 245 nt
Filed under: Nicotiana benthamiana
Lineage: Eukaryota; Viridiplantae; Streptophyta; Magnoliopsida; Solanales; Solanaceae
Description: long non-coding RNA (NBEN_LNC002344)
Source: RNAcentral